UGAGCACCGACCAAAAGGGCUGAUGUUCCU
This 30-nucleotide non-coding RNA is filed under the name Rattus norvegicus (Norway rat). Lineage: Eukaryota; Metazoa; Chordata; Mammalia; Rodentia; Muridae. The record is from RNAcentral.